Molecule: ribosomal RNA, 505 nt
Filed under: uncultured bacterium
Lineage: Bacteria
Description: partial 16S ribosomal RNA
Rfam family: Bacterial small subunit ribosomal RNA
Source: RNAcentral
AGUGAACGCUGGCGGUAGGCCUAACACAUGCAAGUCGAACGGCAGCACAGAGGAGCUUGCUCCUUGGGUGGCGAGUGGCGGACGGGUGAGGAAUACAUCGGAAUCUACUCUGUCGUGGGGAUAACGUAGGGAAACUUACGCUAAUACCGCAUACGACCUACGGGUGAAAGCAGGGGAUCUUCGGACCUUGCGCGAUUGAAUGAGCCGAUGUCGGAUUAGCUAGUUGGCGGGGUAAAGGCACACCAAGGCGACGAUCCGUAGCUGGUCUGAGAGGAUAAGCAGACACACUGGAACGGAGACACGGUCCAGACUCAUACGGGAGGCAGCAGUGGGGAAUAUUGGACAAUGGGCGCAAGCCUGAUCCAGCCAUACCGCGUGGGUGAAGAAGGCCUUCGGGUUGUAAAGCCCUUUUGAUGGGAAAGAAAUCCAUCUGGUUAAUACCCGGGUGGGAUGACGGUACCCAAAGAAUAAGCACCGGCUAACUUCGUGCCAGCAGCCGCCGUAA